Long non-coding RNA from Anopheles funestus (African malaria mosquito), 948 nucleotides. RefSeq lists it as uncharacterized. Lineage: Eukaryota; Metazoa; Arthropoda; Insecta; Diptera; Culicidae. The record is from RefSeq and is a predicted model, not a curated record. The transcript has 3 exons.
GGUUUAAGGUCUUUGAUCAUCCAAAGUUUCACUACCCAAGUAAAUGUGGGAUUGGUUUAAGGUGUGAUUUUUAACUGUCGCUCAAUGUUCAACCACAAACCACCCGAAUGUGCGAAGGGAAGAGACGUAACGUCAAAGCCUCACAAGCACUCAUAAUUCUAGCGUCGAGUCGAUCGUACAUCUUCGCCCGUUCUCGCCUAUCCUCCGUGCUCCAUGACUUGCGUGACGGGACCGUAAUCGAGUAAUCGAGGGACGCAACAGGGAAGCUCAAUUGUGCAAAAGACGCGUUCGCUACUCAGUCCGCGUUCGAUUAUCGCACCGAGCGAAACGUCGCUAUCGAGCGGUGUGUGAAGAUUUAUCCGCGGUGAGCAAAACGUGUUCUGUUUGUAGCUAAACAAACUUUACAUUAGAACAACUAGAACGCAGUUGCGGAAUGGCAUUGGUUGGGAAUAGAAUAAUACUCGUAUUGCUUUGUUUCGUGCUGGGAAAUUUCGUGCUCUUUCACGAUCGUGAGAGAAUCGUUAUGGCGCAGUAUAUUGAGGAUGAAACAUCACUGCGCGGGUUGGAUUUUAUUGGAGAUUCACCGAAAGGUUUAUUUGGACGGUGGCACUCUGAGAAACAUUUCUUACGCCGGCUUCAUCUAGAUCGUUUGGGCGAAUGAUCGUUGACCUUGAUAUGUUAGCAGGCUGGUAAAGCCAUACGCAGAUUUAUGGAAUACUCCUGAAUAGAAUUGGAACCAAUCUCAACGGAUGCCUCACACGUGUGUACCCGAGACUGAGCAGAUGAUUUCAGAGAUCUAGACGGUACAAAAUGGUGUGUGAACAAAGCUCUCGAUUAUCGUUAAAUGCAGUGUGCGGAACGUAUUGCAAAUAAUGUUAAGUUUUUUUUACUGUCGAAUACAAUGCUAAACUAUUAAGAUACAAAUAAAACUAAAACGAAAUUUUGAAA